AUACGGAGGGUGCAAGCGUUACUCGGAAUCACUGGGCGUAAAGCGCGCGCAGGCGGAUCGUUAAGUCAGGGGUGAAAGCCCGGAGCUCAACUCCGGAACUGCCCUUGAUACUGGCGAUCUCGAGUCCGGGAGAGGUGAGCGGAAUUCCUAGUGUAGAGGUGAAAUUCGUAGAUAUUAGGAGGAACACCAGUGGCGAAGGCGGCUCACUGGCCCGGUACUGACGCUGAGGUGCGAAAGCGUGGGGAGCAAACAGGAUUAGAUACCCUAGUAGUCC
Molecule: ribosomal RNA, 274 nt
Filed under: uncultured bacterium
Lineage: Bacteria
Description: partial 16S ribosomal RNA
Rfam family: Bacterial small subunit ribosomal RNA
Source: RNAcentral